AGCGAACGCUGGCGGCAGGCCUAACACAUGCAAGUCGAACGGAUCCUUCGGGAUUAGUGGCGGACGGGUGAGGAACACGUGGGAACGUGCCUUUUGGUUCGGAACAACUCAGGGAAACUUGAGCUAAUACCGGAUAAGCCCUUCGGGGAAGGAUUAUCGCCAUUAGAGCGGCCCGCCGUCUGAUUAGCUAGUUGGUGGGGUAAAAGGACCUACCAAGGCUACGAUCAGUAGCUGGUCUGAGAGGAUGAUCAGCCACAUUGGGACUGAGACACGGCCCAAACUCCUACGGGAGGCAGCAGUGGGGAAGUCUUGCGCAAUGGGCGGAAAGCCUGACGCAGCCAUGCCGCGUGAAUGAUGAAGGUCUUAGGAUUGUAAAAUUCUUUCACCGGGGACGAUAAUGACGGUACCCGGAGAAGAAG
This 419-nucleotide ribosomal RNA is filed under the name uncultured bacterium. RNAcentral describes it as "bacterial SSU rRNA". It matches the Rfam family "Bacterial small subunit ribosomal RNA", at positions 29 to 490 of the family's 1533-position model. The record is from RNAcentral.